CUCAUUUCCCCUCUCCCAAUCUUGUUCCUUAUGGUGGCUGCAUAGCUAGCUUAGGGUUUCUUGGGGAGGAGAGCUGUGUGGGACGGCGCAGCGUGGGAAGGGGUGAGGCACGCCUCUUCUGCUGGUGGAGGCAGACACCUGCUCAUACGUGACCACGGCGUGGACAGAGUGGAUGAGCUCCACGCAAGAACAUGCUGGGUCGUCUAAUCAUCCCGCCACCAAUGCAAGUCAGAGUACCCCUCUGGCAAUUGAACCUGCACAGUCGAAGCAAACAAAACGAAAAUACGAUGCCUGAGGGUUCAUCAUUUAUACAGUCUGGCCAAAAGAGAAGACUGAUAUCUUUUGGAGAGAAUGCUCAAGCAUCUGCGAACUCAAGCGCUCAAGCCUCUGUGAAGGCAUCUACUAGAGGGAGUGCUUCUGUUGUCAUUGAGACCAAUGCUGGGACUGCUGGCUCAUUUGCAAAGGCAACAAUCAAUGUGCAAGGCAGGCGUGCAUCAGCAAACAUCCAGUCCUCAUCACUUGGACGUGGAGCAACAGCAAGGCAGAGCAGCUCUUCUCAGAAAAAAACAUGAACACGUUUGAUGCAUGCAAAGAAAAAAAAUAGUUUCAAGCAAAUGAUAUUAAUGCCUUUGUAUCACCCAAUCAUUAGUAUGUAAACACUUGUCUUUGUUAUGUCAAAACAUGAGACAUAUAUGACAGACAUUGUCAGGAAUUUGUUAGACAUCUAUUGUGAGACUUGAGAUAAGGAGAGGCAAAAU
Long non-coding RNA from Sorghum bicolor (sorghum), 758 nucleotides. RefSeq lists it as uncharacterized. The transcript is spliced from 3 exons. The record is from RefSeq and is a predicted model, not a curated record. NCBI's taxonomy places the organism in Eukaryota, Viridiplantae, Streptophyta, Magnoliopsida, Poales, Poaceae.